AUGAACGCUGGCGGCGUGCCUAAUACAUGCAAGUCGAGCGAACGGACGAGAAGCUUGCUUCUCUGAUGUUAGCGGCGGACGGGUGAGUAACACGUGGAUAACCUACCUAUAAGACUGGGAUAACUUCGGGAAACCGGAGCUAAUACCGGAUAAUAUUUUGAACCGCAUGGUUCAAAAGUGAAAGACGGUCUUGCUGUCACUUAUAGAUGGAUCCGCGCUGCAUUAGCUAGUUGGUAAGGUAACGGCUUACCAAGGCAACGAUGCAUAGCCGACCUGAGAGGGUGAUCGGCCACACUGGAACUGAGACACGGUCCAGACUCCUACGGGAGGCAGCAGUAGGGAAUCUUCCGCAAUGGGCGAAAGCCUGACGGAGCAACGCCGCGUGAGUGAUGAAGGUCUUCGGAUAGUAAAACUCUGUUAUUAGGGAAGAACAUAUGUGUAAGUAACUGUGCACAUCUUGACGGUACCUAAUCAGAAAGCCACGGCUAACUACGUG
Molecule: ribosomal RNA, 496 nt
Filed under: uncultured bacterium
Lineage: Bacteria
Description: partial 16S ribosomal RNA
Rfam family: Bacterial small subunit ribosomal RNA
Source: RNAcentral